GCUUUUUUUGACGGCUUCGCUUUUAGUUAUUUAUUCGCAUAAUGUUCUAUAUAGUUUACAGAUAAUGACUAUUUUCUAUAUAAAAGUCUUGACUAAAACACGUGCCAGCAGUCGCGGUAACACGGGACAGACUAGUGUUAUUCAUCUUUAUUAGGUUUAAAGGGUACCUAGACGGCAAAUUUAACUCCCUAAAAAGGAACAGUGUAUUUUGCUAGAGUUUUAUAUAAGAGGGUUUUAGUACUAGCAGAGUAGAGAUGAAAUUUGUUGAUACUGUAGGGCACUGGUAAAGGCGAAGGCAGAUCUUUAUGUAAAAACUGACGUUGAGGGACGAAGGCUCGGGUAACAAACAGGAUUAGGUACCCUAAUAGUCCAUGCAGAGACUGAUGAGUGUCAUAGGUCAGAGUAUUUUGGUCUAUAAAUGAAAGUGAAAGCACUCCACCUUAAGAGUAAUGCGGCUACGUAGGAACUAAAAUCAUUAGACCGUUUCUGAUACCAGUAGUGAAGUAUGUUGUUCAAUUCGAUGGUCCACGAAAAACCUUACCACAAUUUGAAUAUUAUAUUACCUAGGAAAGUUAUUUAUUAAAUUUGAAAGUAAUAUAUUACAGGUGUUGCAUGGCUGUCUUCAGUUGAUGUCGUGAGAUGAAGGUUAGAUCCUAAAUCAACGUAUAACCCAUAUUUU
This 679-nucleotide ribosomal RNA is filed under the name Crypthonia palaeotropica. Its description in RNAcentral is "SSU rRNA". It matches the Rfam family "Bacterial small subunit ribosomal RNA", at positions 399 to 1113 of the family's 1533-position model. Lineage: Eukaryota; Fungi; Ascomycota; Arthoniomycetes; Arthoniales; Arthoniaceae. The record is from RNAcentral.